GAUGAACGCUGGCGGCGUGCCUAAUACAUGCAAGUCGAGCGAACAGACGAGGAGCUUGCUCCUCUGACGUUAGCGGCGGACGGGUGAGUAACACGUGGAUAACCUACCUAUAAGACUGGGAUAACUUCGGGAAACCGGAGCUAAUACCGGAUAAUAUAUUGAACCGCAUGGUUCAAUAGUGAAAGACGGUUUUGCUGUCACUUAUAGAUGGAUCCGCGCCGCAUUAGCUAGUUGGUAAGGUAACGGCUUACCAAGGCAACGAUGCGUAGCCGACCUGAGAGGGGGCCGGCCCACAUGGGAGCGGAACCCCGCCCCAGCCUCCAGCGGGGGGAGCAAGAGGGGAAUCUUCGGCAAGGGGGGAAGAUUUGCCGGAGCACCCCGGGGGGAGGAAUAAGUGUUUUGGAACCUAAAACCUUUUUUAUGGGGAAAAAAAAAUUUUGUAAGUAACAAGGCACGUCUGGAGGGCACCUAAUCAAAAACCCGCGCCAAACUAGGUC
Molecule: ribosomal RNA, 497 nt
Filed under: uncultured bacterium
Lineage: Bacteria
Description: partial 16S ribosomal RNA
Rfam family: Bacterial small subunit ribosomal RNA
Source: RNAcentral